CAGUCGCCGCGGGAAUACAGAGGGUGCAAGCGUUAAUCGGAAUUACUGGGCGUAAAGCGCGCGUAGGUGGUCCGCCAAGUUGGAUGUGAAAUCCCCGGGCUCAACCUGGGAACUGCAUCCAAAACUGGCGAGCUAGAGUAUGGUAGAGGGUGGUGGAAUUUCCUGUGUAGCGGUGAAAUGCGUAGAUAUAGGAAGGAACAUCAGUGGCGAAGGCGACCACCUGGACUGAUACUGACACUGAGGUGCGAAAGCGUGGGGAGCAAACAGGAUUAGAUACCCCGGUAGUCCCUGUCUCUUAUAC
This 301-nucleotide ribosomal RNA is filed under the name uncultured bacterium. RNAcentral's name for it is "partial 16S ribosomal RNA". It matches the Rfam family "Bacterial small subunit ribosomal RNA", at positions 509 to 807 of the family's 1533-position model. The record is from RNAcentral.